This 877-nucleotide ribosomal RNA is filed under the name uncultured bacterium. RNAcentral's name for it is "bacterial SSU rRNA". It matches the Rfam family "Bacterial small subunit ribosomal RNA", at positions 8 to 865 of the family's 1533-position model. The record is from RNAcentral.
AGAGUUUGAUCCUGGCUCAGGAUGAACGCUGGCGGCGUGCCUAAUACAUGCAAGUCGAGCGAACUGAUUAGAAGCUUGCUUCUAUGACGUUAGCGGCGGACGGGUGAGUAACACGUGGGCAACCUGCCUGUAAGACUGGGAUAACUUCGGGAAACCGAAGCUAAUACCGGAUAGGAUCUUCUCCUUCAUGGGAGAUGAUUGAAAGAUGGUUUCGGCUAUCACUUACAGAUGGGCCCGCGGUGCAUUAGCUAGUUGGUGAGGUAACGGCUCACCAAGGCAACGAUGCAUAGCCGACCUGAGAGGGUGAUCGGCCACACUGGGACUGAGACACGGCCCAGACUCCUACGGGAGGCAGCAGUAGGGAAUCUUCCGCAAUGGACGAAAGUCUGACGGAGCAACGCCGCGUGAGUGAUGAAGGCUUUCGGGUCGUAAAACUCUGUUGUUAGGGAAGAACAAGUACAAGAGUAACUGCUUGUACCUUGACGGUACCUAACCAGAAAGCCACGGCUAACUACGUGCCAGCAGCCGCGGUAAUACGUAGGUGGCAAGCGUUAUCCGGAAUUAUUGGGCGUAAAGCGCGCGCAGGCGGUUUCUUAAGUCUGAUGUGAAAGCCCACGGCUCAACCGUGGAGGGUCAUUGGAAACUGGGGAACUUGAGUGCAGAAGAGAAAAGCGGAAUUCCACGUGUAGCGGUGAAAUGCGUAGAGAUGUGGAGGAACACCAGUGGCGAAGGCGGCUUUUUGGUCUGUAACUGACGCUGAGGCGCGAAAGCGUGGGGAGCCAACAGGAUUAGAUACCCUGGUAGUCCACGCCGUAAACGAUGAGUGCUAAGUGUUAGAGGGUUUCCGCCCUUUAGUGCUGCAGCUAACGCAUUAAGC